Molecule: RNA transcript, 3124 nt
Organism: Physella acuta
Lineage: Eukaryota; Metazoa; Mollusca; Gastropoda; Physidae
Source: RefSeq, a predicted model, not a curated record
CUAUCUUGUGACGUACGAGUGAAAGUUCAAAAAUUGAGAAUUUUGCUUUCAAUGAUUUUAAAUUUGGCAAAAAAAUUAUAAAGAUAAAAUAAAAUCAAUUGUCAACACGCCAAGAUGUGCCGGCCCUACCUACUGCAGCGUACAAACCCUUUGUUUUGUUUUCAAACGAGCAGCCAGCAUGAGUCAUGACUCAGCCUAACAAAGACCGGAAGAGAAAGAUGGAUGCCCUGAUCAGUGGCGACAACUCUAAAGCACACACAAGUCAGGACAGCUGCUGCUCCUCGGCCAAGACACCAUGUAUGGCCCAGGGGUCGGCGUCUGGGGACUCGCAGGGGAACAUGUGUCACGAGUUCGUGACUGUGCUGCGAGACCUGGAGAACGAGGGGUCCCCUGCCGUGAUCCACACCCACGCCUGUGAGCUGGAGGACGUCUGGUCCCACAAGUACCCCCUCCCCCUCAGCAAGUACCCGCCCAAAGCCAUCAAGACAGGAAACAAACACUAUGACGUCAUCAUACCCGAACUACCUCAAAUUGGUUAUAAACCCCUUCAGGUGAUAGCCAAGGGUCGGUCGGGUACUGUGAUACUGGCCCAGGAUCUGAGAGAAGGCAUUGAGGUGAGGGAGAGCGAAUGCCAACCAGUGGCCAUCAAACUCCAGAGUGGCAAGAAAAGGAAACAGCCAACACCAGCCUCGGAGGAGCAGAAAAAAGACAGCCCAUCAGAUGAGAUCCUACUGCACAAACGUCUUCAGCACCAGCACAUUGUGGCUCUGAUCAACACCAUCUUCUAUCAAGGAAGGACCGGCCUUGUGUUGGAGUUCUGUGAGAGCGGAAAUCUGGAGACUUUACUCAGAGUACACGAUGCCAGAUUUGUCAGUGAGUCUAUUGCCAGGAAAUACCUCAGACAGCUGCACAGUGCUGUAGAGUACAUGCAUCUGUCGGGCGUGGCCCACAGGGACCUCUGUCUGCAGAAUAUUCUGGUAACCAAUGACAACAUGGUCAAGAUCGCAGACUUCAGCCAUGCCGUGCUCUACUCACCCGGUGACCCGCUGUGUCGCGAGUUGGCUGGAACUCCGGGAUACCAGGCAGGCCCCUGAGAUGUUGAUGAAACACAUGUAUGACCCCCGCCAGGCCGACAUGUGGUCCCUAGGGGCGGUGCUGUUCACCAUGGUGGUGGGCCGACUGCCCUACGGUCGCGUCAAGACAGAGGAGGAGGCCCGAGCCCUCAAGCCCUUGGUGUUCCCUCCCCCCUCGGUCAUGGUCCUGUCCCCACAGAUAAAAGAGCUUCUUAUCGGAAUGCUGUCCUAUGUCCCAAGUUCCAGAUACACACUCAAUCGUGUUAAAAAUAGUGAGUGGUUCAAUAUGGCCUCGGACAAAGUGCAAAUUGGCAGCUUUUAUUUGGUUCGGCAACCUCAAAAAGUCUGUGAUGGCGAAAGGGAACGAGAGGUGAAAGCAGAGUAUGAAAUAUGAAACUUGAACAAAAUAAAUGCAAGCACUCCAAAAUACAGCAAUCUUUACUCAAGAACAUUGGUCUCACUGCAACUUUAGUUGUUGCUUUCUCAAUUUAAAAAAAAUUGUCGCCAGUAUUGCUAACUUUUUAUCAGGCCACUCUUUGAGUUAGGUCUUGAGUCUCGAUAAAUAAAACUGAAAUUUAAAGAAACUUUUCAACCGUUCAACUGAUUUCAGCAUAGAAUUGAUUUACUUGGUAGUUUUUUGAUCCAAGUAAUCUUAUGUGGCGCUUCUAAAAAAACUUGAUCUCAUUGCAACACAAUUGAAUUGGAAUCCAGGCGUCUAGAUCUUGUAUCAUUUUUUUAAAGAACUAUAAUUGGACCUACAAUAGUGCAAUGUAUGGACCUAGCCCUAGCACAUCUUGAUCAAAUUUCUGCUGUGCACAUUUGUAUAAAUGUUUUGAUUUGAGAUUGGUAGCACACUUUUUUUGAUGACUUUUAACACAGUAUAAUAGCAUUGAUUUUUGUGAGAAAGGUAUGAAUUGUCGAAAUCAUUUAGUGAGAGUUGAACUGGUAGUAUCUAGAUCUAGAUCAAGUUAUACAACACAUUCUCUUGGCAACAUUUAAAGAUGUUUUCUUUUAUCCAUUGGUUUCAUGAAUGAAUGCAAUUGACAGUUGAAAGUGGUAUGACAAGAACUAGAUUUUUAAUGAACAUGUUUGCCUAUAUUUCAAGUCUUUCAAAUAAUACUUUUUUAUUAUCUACCAAAGUUAUAAAAAUCUCAACAAUUAGUUGUUUGAAAUAUAUAUUUUAGAAAAACUUUAUUUUCUUUUUAACAUGUGAAUUUUUCAAGACUCAUUGUAUGCCAUUUGCCAAAAUGUCCACAAACCAGAGUUAUUUUUAUAUUUGAGCUCAUACAGUGUAUCUAGUUUUAAUUUUAAAAGACCUCACACUUGUAGUUUCAAAGACAGCACAUAAAAGUUCCCUCAAAAAUAUUGCAAAGACUUUUUAUAAGAAAGUUUAAAUUCUUUUCAGAGAAUAAUGUGAAACAUUUUAACCAAAUUGUAAACAAGCAGUUUUUGAGUUAAACAUUGUGCUAUAUUUAGAAUUAUAUUGCUAAUACUUCAGAUACUCAAUUUAAAAAUAUUUAACAGAUAGUUUGUGGUGGGAAACACCCAGAGCAUUAAUUACAACCUCAGUGUUUUGAUUUGAAUACAUCUACAUUAAUUUGUUCUUAUCAUUUCAUUUUAAAACCCAAACACAUCUUCUCCUGCUGGUGUACUUUUGUCUGACAUUUAUUCAUUAAUUAUAAUAUUGUAAUUGAAUGAAAAUUCAGCUUCAAUGUAUUUAUUUCUAUUAUUAUUUUAGAUGACCCUAAGCAUAUCUGUCUAGUCCAAAAAUUAAAAGUUGAAAAAGACAAAAAAAAACAACUUAUUUUAUUUUAAGUGAAGAACAUUUUAAACUGCUUACAUUACAAUUCUUUCAGCUAAAGCAGUUUUUAUUCAAAGUACUUUUCUUGUUUUACCAUGUCUCAGUGCCUGAUGGUUUUAUAGUUUUAAUAGUAAAAAGUAUUAAAUCAUGAAAAAAAUAAAAUUUAUGAAAAUUUACUCAUAAAAAUUUCAACCUAAUAACUUUAAGCUAUUUAUUAUUGUUUGUUAUGUGAUUAAAAAGUGCAUUUUCA